Long non-coding RNA from Amphiprion ocellaris (clown anemonefish), 593 nucleotides. Lineage: Eukaryota; Metazoa; Chordata; Actinopteri; Pomacentridae. The record is from Ensembl.
UCAGAUGCUGAGAGACCCAGCGGUGGACGUCCAGAGAGCAGAGAUGCUGAGAGACCAAGCGGUGGACGUCCAGAGAGCAGAGGUGAGUUGCACAUUGUCACACAUUGCACACAGUAGACUUUGCUGCUUUCCUCAUGUGUUUGUUUGUUUGUUUGUUUGUGUCAGAUGCUGAGAGACCAAGUGGUGGACGUCCAGAGAACAGAGGUGAGUUGCACAUUGUCACACAUUGCACACAGUAGACUUUGCUGCUUUCGUCAUGUGUUUGUUUGUUUGUUUGUUUGUUUCAGAUGCUGAGAGACUCAGCGGUGGACGUCCAGAGAGCAGAGGUGAGUUGCACAUUGUCACACAUUGCACACAGUAGACUUUGCUGCUUUCCUCAUGUGUUUGUUUGUUUGUUUGUGUCAGAUGCUGAGAGACCCAGCGGUGGACGUCCAGAGAACAGAGAUGCUGAGAGACCAAGCGGUGGACGUCCAGAGAACAGAGAUGCUGAGAGACCCAGCGGUGGACGUCCAGAUAGUAGAGAUGCUGAGAGACCCAGCGGUGGACGUCCAGAGAGCAGAGGUGAGUUGCACAUUGUCACACAUUGCACACAG